RNAcentral lists this ribosomal RNA (568 nucleotides) under Hyperolius marmoratus (marbled rush frog). Its description in RNAcentral is "partial 16S ribosomal RNA". It matches the Rfam family "Bacterial large subunit ribosomal RNA", at positions 1811 to 2608 of the family's 2925-position model. Lineage: Eukaryota; Metazoa; Chordata; Amphibia; Anura; Hyperoliidae. The record is from RNAcentral.
AAACAUCGCCUCUUGCUAGAAUAUAAGAGGUCACGCCUGCCCGGUGAACUAAUUUAACGGCCGCGGUAUCUUAACCGUGCAAAGGUAGCAUAAUCAAUUGUUCUUUAAAUAAGGACUAGUAUGAACGGCAUCACGAGGGUUUAACUGUCUCCCUAUUUUAAUCAAUGAAAUUGAUCUUCCCGUGAAGAAGCGGGGAUAUAAUUAUAAGACGAAAAGACCCCAUGGAGCUUCAAACUUACUUUUAAUUACCAAAACCCAAAACACAUACCUGGUAAAAAUAAUAGUUGUUUUCGGUUGGGGCGACCCUGGAGAAAAAUUAAUCCUCCAAGCUGAAUAGACAAAAAUCUAAUGUUAGAGUAACAACUCAAACAAUCAAAACCUUGACAAAAUGACCCAGAAUUCAUCUGAUCAACGAACCAAGUUACCCUGGGGAUAACAGCGCAAUCCAUUUCAAGAGCCCAUAUCGACAAAUGGGUUUACGACCUCGAUGUUGGAUCGGGGUAUCCUAGCAGCGCAGCCGUUGCUUAAGGUUCGUUUGUUCAACGAUUAAUAACCCCACRUGAUCUGA